AUACGAUUUAGAUUUUCUGUUGUGUGGUAUUUGUCUACUAUUAUAGAACCUCAAGCAUUUCUCUAAAGAAAACUCUUACACAUCUUGGUGUUGUGGUUUCAUGUCCACCCUAAUGAGAAAAGUUCUUCCUUAGUAGGGUCAUGUUUCCUGAGGAACCCCUACCCUAGAUUUAUCCCAUAGUAGGUCUUAUAAAUAAUAUCCACAUACUAAAAUUAUUUGGCUUCUAAUGUUAAGUUUUACACUAAUAUUGUAAAAGUAACUCUACAGUCAAAAAUUGUAAUAUUUAAAUAAGAAUAAUCUGCCAUCCGAGCCAUUAGCCUUUAGCAUCUGUGUUAUAUUUUAAAAUGCCUGCAAAAAUUGUCUAUGCGUAAACAAGUUGUUUUUAGUUAUACUGUGGCUUAUUUGGUUGGCAUGAAAAUUAGAUUGCUUUGCAUAUCUGGGGUAGCAUAACCAGUUUUAUCAGUGGCUAGAUUAUAUCAGAUGACAAAAAUAACAUGAGACUUCAGAAGUCUGAUAAAUAAAGUGAUGAUACCUAUUAGAACUUCUUUUUCAUUGAUACUGUUUUAUUUGCCGUAUUUGAAGGACUAUUUAAACUAUUUAAAGCUACAGUCACACUUCCCCUGCUCUGAAGAAGGGCUAAGGAAAGGCAGUGGGAAUAAAGAAUUCUUUUUCUACUGCAUUGUAUGAGUUGUCUAGGACAAGGAAAUCAGACAGCUCCCAGCAUACCCAUUGUCAGAGUUCCCUGGCACAACUUCAGAAUUGUAUUCAAAAGUAUUUUCACAACAGUAGGCACCCACUUAAUUAAAUACAAGCACAUAAUCAAAAAAUAGAUAUAAAUAUUUAGUUAUCACCAAGGUCUUAGCUUCCUUUCUCUAAAUGCAAACCAGGGCCAUCUGAGCAUACAUUAAGAAAUGCAGAAGAAUUAUUGGAAUGGCCUUUUGAUCCCAAGAGAUAUGGCACAGAGACGUUUAGAGAAGUGUGCCACAUGAUCUUCUCAGGAACAUGGGAAAGGCACCAGGACCAGAGUGAGGCAGAGGUUGACAUUAACUGAAGUUUGCCAUCUCAUCUUCACUCUGCCCUCCCUGGCCCAAGCUAUCUCCAUCAAGUUAAGAAAGACCUGAACUAGAAAGGAGUGGAAGAGACGUUAAAGCCACGCUCUCACUGAUUAUUGAACAAACAGGAUGGUUCAUCUCCCUCCUAUGGAAGAGAAAGGGCUACUGAUGUUAAACUCUACAAAUGAGUUGAAAACCAUUGAAAUGAACUCUGGAAGUCAAGCCCCUCUGAUUAAUACUUAUCUAAGUGAGAUUACCUGUUUUGCAAUAACAGGUCAUUGGUUGCAACCCAAGAUGGUGGAGUUAGGGGAUCUAGGGGAGCUGCAAAGUUAGGUCAAUAAUAAACCGUUAGAAAGCCAUGAAUUACACAGUCAUGGAGUCAGGACCCCAUUAUAAUAUCAUAGUGGUUCUUCUGCAAUCAACUGACAAUGAUGUAGUCUCAUGUUCACAAAAAAGGACAGUUCCAAAAGCAGUCAGGUAAUUAUCAGCAUUAUUUAUCUGACUUUGUUUCCCAGCAUUUACACAGUGGUUUCC
Molecule: long non-coding RNA, 1586 nt
Filed under: Homo sapiens (human)
Lineage: Eukaryota; Metazoa; Chordata; Mammalia; Primates; Hominidae
Description: non-protein coding lnc-ZFAND5-1:1
Source: RNAcentral